Molecule: long non-coding RNA, 3075 nt
Organism: Panicum hallii
Lineage: Eukaryota; Viridiplantae; Streptophyta; Magnoliopsida; Poales; Poaceae
Exons: 5
Source: RefSeq, a predicted model, not a curated record
CUAACGCCCGCAACUUCUCAUCCUUUUCCAGAUGGCUCCUCCGCCCUUGACCCUUGGGGAUCUCGCCUCCCCCUCCCCCCAUCAUUUUGCUACUAGUAUACAUGACUAGCACUAGUACUAAGUUCCAUCCACUGGGAUCAUUAUUGUCUGCGAAAAUGCUUUUCUUAUAUUGCCUACUCUCUACUACCAGCAUUGUCAAUUAAACGUUGGAAUUCUGCUACCUCGCUUCUACUAUGUUCACUGGAAUUUUAUUUUCAACCGCAUCAGUGGACCAUGUUACAGACGUUUCGGUAUCAAAUCAUUUAUGGCUUCAGUUACAUAGUCCACCAGAGCUCCUUCAAUCCAAAUCCAUGUAGAAAGGAGUGUUAUCUCUUUCUGAAUUCCUUUGUUUGUCAAGUCAUCGUGCUACACAGUAUAUGCUACCAUUACUGCACUGGCCAUUUUAGAAGAUUGUUCGGCAAUCUCUAUGACAUUCAUUGUUGAUUGAUCCUGGCACGCGCAUUGUUACCAAUUAUGCUCAUGUCCUGUUUCCCUCUUAUUUGUCUGCUCCAUCUUUAAUAAAAUUCUGCAAUAGCACUGAUGUACAGUUGCUUCCAUUAUUGAUCUUGGGUGUUGUACUACCAUUUCACUACUCACCAAGAAAUCAGGGAUUUACACUGUGUCACAUCUAUUUCGAUUAAGUCUUCCAGUUUUCAAGAUGGUUCUACAAGCACAAUCAAUCCUAGCCACAGGACUUAUUACCCCAUGUAUAUUUACAUGGUGGAUAUGAGCUGAAUAUGCCAGGAAUCAAGUCAAUGACAAGACGAGCAAGAUGCAACACAAUUUUAUUGGAGCUAUAACAUGACAGGAAACAUAUUGUUAAAAAAGUUUGCACAUGUGACUUUGACCAUUGAAUCACAAAAGAGCGAAUAUUCCAAGGUCCAAGCACACUGUCAUGCAUUAUAUUGGCAUGUGAAGGCAUGUACAGUGAGGUGCUGUUGCUGAUCUUGGGUGUUAUUGUACCUUCUCACCACUCACAAAGAAAUCAGGGGAUCGAUACUGUGUAGCAGCUGUCUCGACUUGGUCUUCAUGUUUUCUCAAAAUAAAGCCACAAACACAGUUCAACAGUAACCACAUGUACCAUUGCUGUUUCUGAUUUUGUAAAUUUACUUCCUCUUCCCAUCAUGUGUCGACAAAUAAAUAUGCUCUUCUUUUUCUCUCUCGCCAUCUCACACACAAUAUCAUCUGUUUAAGCUUAUGACUUAAUGCUAUGAAUUAUUUGACAUGAUAUUUUUUACUCCACCAGGUGCUAUUACACCAAGUAUAUAUCAACAUGAUGGAGAUGAAGUGCAUAUUCCAGGAAUCGAGUCAACAUCAUAACAAGAAGUACAUUAUUCUAGCAACCAGCACGUGUGCCUCGACAAGUUCCCAAUUUAAGUCAGAUUGAGACAGGUCUCUUGGGCUUUUGUCACUAUAUAAGCUUGUGAUUGCACUGUCAUGCACUCGAAACAUCUUUUCCUCCAUGUUGUUCAUGGUCCGCUGGAGCAAUGUCAUUGAUGUUAUCUAUGCUGAUAAUUUAGGGUUGACCAGAAGUAGAUAAAACUGUCUAAGCUAGUCUAAGGAUUAUUCUUGGUAGCAGCGCCCUUAUGGCAACCUCAGGAGCAUAUUUCUGUGUUAUUUCGGCACUGUUUGGCUUCUAACUGGCCAAGCAAGGGCAGCUCCUCUAAUUGGGAGAAUUGGUUGGAGAAAUCAGCCUCAAAUAUAUGAGCCACACAAGAUCCAGUGACUUGUUCAGAUGGAGUGAUGAACUUAUCCUGCAGGGAGCUUUGUUGAAGCCUGGCUUGACUUAUCGGCGCCAUGAUCAUAUAUUGAUUGACGCUGCUACUGGUUGGGAGGUGAAGCUGCUGCUACUGGAGGAGGGAGGGUCCACAUGGGCAUCAGUCACCAACGGACAUCAACAGAGACCGACGGGGUCACGGGUUAGACGGAUCGAAUAACGGACAUCAACAAAGAAGAUGAAUCCGGCUUCAAAAAAAAAAAGAAAAAAGAUGAAUGCAGUUGCUUGCUUGGGAGCCCUGCCUCUGCCUUGCUGGCUGGCUGCCACUGUGCCCUGCAAGGGACCCAUCCCGUCCCAUCGUACGGGCUGGAUGGCGAUGCCUCACCCACCUUCUCCUCUCAUCUUCACCAGUUGAGUUGGGGCCAGCUAGCUAUCCAUCCAGGAGAGAGCAAGGAGAUGGUUCUCUUCAAGAGGAUCAUUCAGAUCUUAAAACCUUCCUCAAUCUCCUCUAAUUCACGGUCCAGUCUGGUUGUUUCUCGUUGCUGUGUUGUGUGUUUGCAUUGGUUGGUUAAAGACACACCGGAUCGUUUCUCUUCUUUUUCUUUUUUCGAAAUAAAUCUUCUUCUUUUUCUCAAGGAACGAAAACGUAUCAACAGUGGCAGUCGCGAUCCAUCCAAUUCCCGGUGGUUUGAGAACGAGCAACUCGCUGCCUGAUGGUGCUGGCCCUGCCGUGCAAUCAGUGGCCGCCACGUGUACCACCCGCUCCUCGCUGCAAGCCCACGUGGCAGGCCGAGCCAUCUAAACGUCGCCUCCCAACAAUAUCCACAUCCUGUGGCUGCUGGCUGCUGAGGAGUGAGGAUGCUAUUCCUGUGCUGCUUCAGAGUGGUGGACGAAGAAGAAGAAGAAAGAAUACUACUUGCUCCUAGUCAGCUAGCUGGAGCAAAGGAAAGGAAAUGAAAGCACCCCAAUAAUCCAUCCCCUCUCCUGCUAGCAAGGCAGGGGAAACUUUCCAGCUUCUCUGCUUGGCAGCUAGUACCAACCAGUUGCCUCUUUUUUUUUCUGUCCUGGUCUAGUUUUUUAUUUAUUAAUUUACGCCUUACAAAACCAAACCAAACCAAACCAAGCCAAGCUAGAGAAGACACCAGCACUGAAUCCUGGAAAGGGUGGAGUCGCGAUUCAAAACAAGUUCAUCCAGAGCAGCAGCACACAGUAUGAAGUUCAUCCCCGCCUGCUGCGUUGGCAGGCCUGCCAUAGGGUGUGCCAAAUCCAGUCCUGAAUGCAAAACGGAAACACAUUAGGCAAGUUAGAUCUCUUUAUUA